CUUUACACCACAAAGUUUUUUGUUACAUCUGGGAUGGCCUUCUAUGCCCCCUGAGAAACAAAUGUUGAUAAUUCAUAUUUUAAUGGCAGUAAAGUUAGCGGUGGCUAGAAACUGGAAAAGUAAAAAAGAAAUACAGUGGAGUGAAAUCAAAAUACAGGUAAUAUAUCAAUGUAAGAUGGAAAAGGGAUUAAUUUUAGGUAACUCUGUAGGUUUGAAGAAAUACAGUAAAUGGG
This is a non-coding RNA of Pelobates cultripes (western spadefoot toad), 233 nucleotides long. Lineage: Eukaryota; Metazoa; Chordata; Amphibia; Anura; Pelobatidae. The record is from the annotation of a GenBank genome assembly.